CCGGGCCCUAAUCCACUUUCUUUUCCUUUCUACCGCCGCCCAGCCUUCUCCUUAGCACCGUCGCCCAAUCGUCAAGGCCACCGUCCACGCUGUGCCGCCCCUUCGCCGGUGCUGUGCCGUAGCCACCGCUGCCAGCCGCAGCCACGGCUAGCGUCGCGGCUACUACAGUCGGUCAACCAACCCUCUGUUCUCCCUUCUCCGCGCGAAGGAGAACCGCGACCGCAGUGCUGCCAGCCGCCGCUGUUCGCCCUUGCUGGUUCUGUCGACCUUUCCUUGGUCGGCCGGCAGCCUAGUUCGCCGAAGCAACUACCCUAGCCAACACCAUUGCCCUCAAAUCUACGACCAGUUCCUUUGCCCUCGUGAACACCGGCGGCUACCCAUCGCAGCCAACCAUCGGUUUCGACUCCUCCGGCCUUUGAGAGCAGCCCCACCGCUGGUCGUGAGAGGGACACCAUUGCUUUUCUCUUCGUCCGAUUCAACUAUUGUCAUGAGCCACUGCUAGGGCAGUGAAUAUCCGUCAGGAAGAGGCCAAAGGGAUACUGAUUUGAGAUAAGCGUUCCGACACUGAGAUAGUUAAUAUCUACAUUUGAGGCUGAUAAACAUCAAUUGAACUUCAAAGACAAGUACUCAAAGUUGUAUUGGAACAAUCACCUAAUGCACCCUUUGUCGUGCCAUGGAUGCCAGGCAUAGCAGCAUUCUCUCCUUGGUGUUAGUAACACUUGCAGGAAGAAAUAUUUAGCCAUUUUACAAGAUUGACUACUUCUCACGAUGCUGCCAGGAUUUUCUAGGAGUGAUGGUGAGAUUUCAUGUCAUUAUUCUAUACAUGCUUGUAAAAUUUAACAGUGGUAUCUGUUCUCAUUAGCGAAUCAGUUCUGGGCUCCAGACUAUGACUCUCAAUUUGCAAAACAUUUGAGUGAAAUAAAACAGGAUAUAUGGGUGAGGAUUAUUAGUGAAUGCAGGAAAUAAAACAAUAAAACAGGACAUAUGGUUUGCAGAAUUGCGUCUCAAACUGCCCUCAAUGGGUCACUUGCUGAUUAUAGCCUGAUUAGAAUAUCAAGAUACUCUACAUUUCUCAUCUCAAAGUCGAAUUGCAAGCUUGACAAUGAUGAAUUUUGGUUGGAUAAGUUGGAUCAAAAGGAUUGGCUUGCACCAAAUGCAGUUCUGAAAAUAUUUAGGCAUGUGAGAAACUCUGAAUCAAUUAUUACUGCAUUCAGAAAGGCAUCUAGUCGUAUGGAUUAUAGGCCUAAUGAAACAUUUUAUAGUUUAUUGAUCAAUAAACUUGCUCAUUUUGGGAAAUUUAGUUAUGUUGAUGAACUAUUGGAAAGGGCAAAGCAGGAGAACUGUGAACUCUCAGAUGAUUUUUUUUAUAGAUUGAUCAAAAUGUAUGGUAAUGUGGCAAAUCAUCCUGAUAAGGCCAUUGAGAUUCUCCUCAAGAUGCCAGAUUUUAAUUGUUGGCCCACUGUCAAGACUUUCAAUUAUGUUCUUAAUAUGCUUGUUAAUACUCGGCAGUAUGAAGUUAUACAUGAGGUUUACUUGAGUGCUCUGAGAUUAUGUGUAACCCUGGACACUUGUUCCUUUAAUAUUCUGAUCAAAGGCUUGUGUCAAUGGGGAAAGCUGGAUGCUGCUUUUUCUGUGUUGCCGGAAAUAAGAAACCAAGGAUGUAAACCUAAUGCAACUACUUAUUCGACAAUAAUGUACUAUCUUUGUAAGCAUGACAGGGUAGGUGAAGCACUUGAUCUUUGCGAGACAAUGGAGAAAACUGGUUGUUACCCAGACACUAUAACUUUCAACAUUUUGAUUUCUGGCCUGUGCAAACAAGGAAGAGUGACCGAGGCUAUGGGGAUGUUAAAUACUAUGAAAUUAAAGGGAUGUUAUCCAAAUUCAGGCACACACCAGGUGCUACUCUAUGGUUUGCUCAGUUCAAAGAAAUUUGUGGAGGCUAAGUAUUUUAUAGAUACAAUGAUCUCUGAAGGUAGCAGGCCAAGUUUCUCAUCAUACAAAAUAAUUAUUGAUGGCCUUUGUAGUGAGGACUCAUUGACUCAUGCUGAGAUGGUGUUGGAGCAAAUGGUGCAUCAGGGAUUUGUUCCUCGAAUGGGGACAUGGAAGAUAUUACUAAAAUGCAUGUUUUUAGAAGACAAAUAACAUUCUUGCGUAUUUUAUGUAAUCACACGAUUAUUAAGGAAGCAAAGUGAAGCUAAGGCACUGCACAGUGAUUUCAGAUUGCGGGUAGGAUAAUUCUUGUCGUUUGUAAUGACUACUUUGGUUCAGCACUUCUUCGAGGCUCUUUCAUUCACCAAUUGCCUCCUAUAGACUCAGGGGUUACUUCUCCAGUCUCCAGACGGAGGAGAAACGAAGAAUAGACUUGACUCACUGACAUGAAUUAUAAGGAGUAACAUUAAGCUACGGCGAUCGCCGCCGCUACAUCUCCGGCCGGCCUGAGCUCCUUCAGCAAGGCCACCACCUGCAGCAUGUUCGGCCUCUUGGAGGGAAAGUCAUCCACGCACUUCAACGUGAUCUCCAAGAACCUCUCCAUCUCCUCCUCCGCCGCCUCCCCGCCGCCCAUCAGCAGCAACUUCCCGUCGAACACCUCCCGCCCUUUCCCCUCCCUCACCUUCAUCUUCACCCAACCCACUAAGUUGGUGUCCCCGAAGUCCUCCUUGUCGGUGGGCCGCCGCCCGGUAAGCAGCUCGAGCAGGACCACCCCGAAGGAGUAGACGUCCCCCUUGGCCGUGCAGCGGAAGCUCUGGUAGUACUCCGGC
This is an RNA transcript of Zingiber officinale, 2759 nucleotides long. It is a transcript of the gene named pentatricopeptide repeat-containing protein At3g14580, mitochondrial-like, with no coding region annotated. The record is from RefSeq and is a predicted model, not a curated record. The transcript has 4 exons. NCBI's taxonomy places the organism in Eukaryota, Viridiplantae, Streptophyta, Magnoliopsida, Zingiberales, Zingiberaceae.